Molecule: ribosomal RNA, 468 nt
Filed under: uncultured bacterium
Lineage: Bacteria
Description: partial 16S ribosomal RNA
Rfam family: Bacterial small subunit ribosomal RNA
Source: RNAcentral
GACGAACGCUGGCGGCGUGCUUAACACAUGCAAGUCGAACGGUGAUGCCCUACUUUGCUGGAGUGGAUCAGUGGCGAACGGGUGAGUAACACGUGAGCAACCUGCCCCAGACUUUGGGAUAACUUCUGGAAACGGCGUCUAAUACCGGAUACGAAACUGGCCCGCAUGGGCAUGGUUUGGAAAGUUUUUCGGUUUGGGAUGGGCUCGCGGCCUAUCAGCUUGUUGGUGAGGUAAUGGCUCACCAAGGCGACGACGGGUAGCCGGCCUGAGAGGGCGACCGGCCACACUGGGACUGAGACACGGCCCAGACUCCUACGGGAGGCAGCAGUGGGGAAUAUUGCACAAUGGGCGGAAGCCUGAUGCAGCGACGCCGCGUGAGGGAUGACGGCCUUCGGGUUGUAAACCGCUUUCGGCAGGGAAGAAGCGAGAGUGACGGUACCUGCAGAAGAAGCACCGGCUAACUACGUG